AAAUACCUUAAAUCUUAGAUUCAACUCCGCGAGUAAUCUUUUUGGUGAAUAGAGGUAUAAAUGGGAGGGACAGCAAAGCCAAUGUGUUGGGCCAAGCUAGUACCUUUCAUUUCAUAUAUACUUGCAGGAUAAGUAGGUUCUUUUGUUCUCCCUGAACAAAUGUGUGCAUCGAAUUUUAAUAAAUAAACCUCUCUAUUUAGCUUUUCCCCUCUAAGCUGAAAUUUCUCCUCCCUUGUCUCUUUUCUUGUUCUCCCUAGCUUAAUUUCCAUUACUAUUAUUUUGGUGGGUGUUUGAGUAGUUGAUGGAUAUUGAUCUCUGGUGGACUCUUGGGGGGUGUUAUUUUUUCUAUCAGAUUAUUGCAUGGCAACAUUGAAACCCUCAUUUAUCUGUCAAACUUUCUUUUAUUUCAUUACCCUUUUCUUCAUUUUCCUCAUCCUUGUCCAUUCUAAUGAUGAUGCUUUCAAGAAUUCAGAUCCUAAGUAUUCAUCUGCUUUUACUACUACUAGUACUACUAGAGCUACAAUGAGGUUGUAUCCAAGAAAAAUCCCGAAAAAUCAUCACGAGGCAGAAUAUGGUGCUGCUGCUCAUGAAGUUCCUAGUGGUCCAAAUCCUAUAUCAAACAGGUAAUUAUUAAAGGAAUACAUGGAGUUAAAGACUAUAUCAGAAGAAUGGAAGCUUGAAGAAUAUUAUGAGAGUUUGUAACGGCAGGUGAUUGCUUGUUUUUUAUGUCCCUGCAGAAAACGGGUAUUCACCAUUAAUACUACUUGUCUUCUUCGUCACAAGUUUGUUACCAUAAGCCUUGUUGUUAUCGUCACCAUUCUUAGCGAGCCUUAAUUAAUUCCCCUCCUUUUUCUGUUUUGUACUUGUAUAGCGCAUGAGACAUUUUACUACUAUAUUAGUAUAUACAGAUAUAAAGUCAUCGAUAUAAAUCAUUUGUUGUGUCAUGAACAUAUAUAUCAAUCGUUGUUGUUUUAUGAAUCCAUUAGUGAAUUGCCCUUUUCUUUCGUUAUUACUACACAAAAACAAAAUAUCUGACGUUUGCCUGGAGUUUUUGUCUCGUCCAUGUUUACUAAAAUUGAGUUUUUGAAUUUAUUUAAUGAAUUUUAUUGUUAAAAAAUGGUUUGCUAACCCUAUAUCAUGUGAUGACCAUGGGAUUUGAUUGUUUCAUCCUCUGGAUCAUUAGUUGAUGUCAUAUGAAGCUUUUAGAUUGAUUAUCUGUUGUUAAAGUUAUCUUUAAUUAUGUUCUCAGUAAAUAAAUUAAAAGUUUAAAAAGAAAUUGAAGCAUAUAAAUGAACAUAUAUGGUUGUUGACUGGAUCUAGUUUAUGGUGACUAGGGUUUUUUAAGUUUAGAGAAGGAAAGACGGCAAAUCUUCAUGGGGAUUGCGUAUGUGGGGUGAAUAGGAGAAGAGGGACCCCUUUGUCAUUAAAAUUACUUCACUACUUAGGACAAUUUGCUUUUUGUCUUCUCAGUGCACAAACUUCAAGAAAGCUGAUGCCUAAUCAGCAUAUAUAUUACGAGGCCGUGAUUUGAUAAUCGGCAUAUUAUGAGGCCAUGAUUUGAUAAUAGGAAAAAAGAAAUUCUAUAUCCUUUCUAAAAAAUAAUAGUUUAAAUUUGAGCAUCAGUCCUUUCCUUUGUUCAUUGGGCUAUUUUCGGCCCUUUCCUUGGCCAUUCGACGCUUUACUUCUUUUUUUUCUUCUAAAAAUUACAUAAAUACACAACUUAUGUUUUCAAUAUUAUAAAAAAUCUCAACUCCCUAAAUAUAUUACAAAAAUCUAAACAUAUACACAAAAUACUAUGUAUAUGUCAGCUAUGUUAUGUAUAUUAAUAAGAAGAGAGAGUAAAGUAAUUAAAAAAAUGAGAGAGAGUGUAAUUACUUCCAAAAGGAUUGGUAUUUAUGUUAUUUAUAUUUUUUUUUCUACAAAAUUUUUAGCUGAAAAAUAUUUUAUAUUUUUAUUAGAAAAAAUAAUAAUUAAAUAUAAUUAUAUAAAAAAGAUAUAAUUGUUAUAUAAAUAUGUAUCUAUAUAAGAUUUAUAUAUAUAUAUAUAUGUAUAUAGAAAUUAUAUAGUUCUAUAAAAUAUAUAUAUAUAUAUGUAUGUAUAAAAUAUAUAUAUAUAAAAAAAUUGUAUAAAAUGUCUAUAGAAAUUUAUAGUUGAUGUAUAAAAUACACAUUCGAAUAAUAUUUGCAGCUAAAGGUUGUAUAGAAUGUGUAUAAAAACUAUAUGGUAUAUAGAAACUGUAUCAUUGUUCUAUAAAAUCUGUAUAUGUAUAAAAUUUGUAUAGAAACUAUAUAAUUAUUGUAUUAAAUGUGUAUAAAAUUGUAUAAUUGCUGUAUAAAAUAUGUAUGAAACUAUAUAUAUAAGGUGUAUAGAAACUGUAUCAUUAUUGUAUAAAAUUUCUAUAUGUAUAAAAUAUGUAUAGAGGUAUAAUAAUUGUAUAUAACAUGUAUCUAAAUAAUUACCAAUAUGAUAUAGGGGGUGUAUCAAUAUGAUUAUAGGGAUUUUAUCGAUAUGGUAUAAUGAUUGUAUCAAUAUGGUAUAGUAUAUGAUUUUUUUUGUCUAUGAUGUGUGUAGUACAUGAUGUACGUAGAAACUAUAUCAUUCUGGUAUAAAAAUAUUUAUAUCACUAUUAUAUUAUGUUGUAUAUAUGUAGACAUGUAUUCUAUUGUUCCACAAUAAUACAAUUAAAAAAAUAUAUAUAUAUAUUUUUUAAAAUAUAAAUAGCUGCAAGAAAAAAAGUUCGAGCCUGAAACCUCAAAAUACACCCAAUUUCAAACAAAACUCAAUUUCAAUUGGAGUUGUUGUUUGCAUGAAUGAGCAAAUGAAAAAAAUUUAAUUGGUAUUCAUGAUUAAUUGGAGAAGAAAGUCAAUUGUGGGUUCAUGUUCAUGAUGAUGUUUACUGAAAUUAAAAAUUAAUAGAAAGUUUUUUUUUUUUUUUAAAAAAAAGGAGUAGGAAAAUACAAAAUCACCAAAUUUUAUUUUUUUUAAAAAAAAAAGAGAAAGUCAAAGAAAGCGGCGUAAACUACCAAAAUGGCUAAGAAAUGAAAUUUGAAUUCAAGAGCUAUUUUGGUGGAAAUACUUUGGUCCGACUGGCCAUUUUUGUCCUUCUCCCUUGAUAAUAAUCAUAUACUAUGAUUAAUUAUUUUACAUUUUUCAUCCACGUAUUUUGUACAUCAAAUUUAUGGAUUCGUUUGUCCAAAGAACUUAUUUCUUUUAUUUUUCUUUCAAAAUAAUAUUUGGUUAUAUAUUGGAUUGACUUUUAAAAUUUUUUGAAAAGAGAAUUUUUGAAUAGAAUUUUCAAGUGAAUUUUUUUCCAAGAAAAUAAGCAACGAAUCUGAUACUUACGACACUCAGGUAUGCUUCUCCUUUUCAUUAGUGCUUCACAUUUUUCAUCCUUAAAUAUUCUAUAUAUAUCAAAUCACUUUUACUAAGUUUUUAAAGUUAUGUGCACAUCCAAAUACGCAUAAUACAUAAACAUCCCCUUUAACAUAACCUUAAAUCUCAUUUAUAAUCUUCAACUUUGUGUGUGUAUAAGUAGACAUUUAAACUUAUAUAAAGUUGAACAAGUAGACAUACACGUUCUAUGUGGCAUAAUAUCAUAGGACGCCAUAUAGGAGAGGAAUUGGCCACGUAGGACACCACAUAGGACAUAUGUGUCUAUUUGUUCAACUUUAUACAAGUUCAAGCGCCUACUUAUGCACUCUCAAAGUUAGAGGUUAUAGAUGUAAUCUGAGACCAAGUUAAAUGACAUAUUUAUGUAUUGUGCCCAUUUAAAUAUGAGUUAAUACAUAAAAAUGACCCUAAACUUGACACCAAAUUAUAAUUUUGACCUUAAACUUUGAUAGUGCACAAAUAAGACCUUUAACUAUUCAAAACUUGAACAAAUAUGACCUCCGAUUUUGCAACCCCAUGCGUGAGUUUCACUCGCGCCUACGUGGAAAGGUAAUCCAAUCACACGGUGCCACAUCGUUAAAAGGGCUGACUUGGAGGAGGUCAUAGUUGUGGAGUUUUGAAUAGUUAAAGGUCAUAUUUGUGCACUGUCAAAGUUUUGCUUUUUGUGCUAAAAAGACGUCGUUUUUAUUAUUAUUAUUAUUAUUAUUAUUAUUAUUAUUAUUAUUAUUAUUAUUUUUAUUUCUAUAGCUGCAACACCUAAGUUUUUUUUUUAAUUAAAAAAUCGAACCUGCGCAGUAGGCUGAAGGAAGCAUCCAAGAAGAGAAAAUAACACUACUGGACUAUCUAAGUGUCUUGUUUCAUGUGGUUCAAUAUUAAUAUAUGUAUAUAAAUAUAAAUUUUCUACCUUAUAUAUAUAAAGUAAUUUAUUUACCGAGGGGGUUCGGGUGUACCCCAUGGCAACCACGUAGGUCCGCCCCUGCAUUAAUUUAAUAAUGUUUUAAUAACGUUAAUUUAAUAACAUUGUAAUAACAUUAAUUUGAUAAUGUUAAUUUAAUAUACUGCUACUACUAUCCUUAAUUAUGUUAAUUUAAUAACGUUUUAUUAAAACUAUAAUUUUAUUAUUAUUAUUAUUAUUAUAGUUUUAUCUUUAAUUUAAUAGUUAAAUAAAUUAUAUUUAGAUAUAUUAUAUAACUUAAAUUCGCCCUCUGCUUUAUAAUAUAUAUACAUACUUGUGUGAUUUUUUCGUAUGAGGCUGACCCACAUAAUUAAUAAAUCUCCGCAAUGACAAAAGAAAUUAGAUGUCAUUUUCAUCUUUGAGCCAAAAAAUAAUAAAAAAAUAAUAGUGAAAAGUCAUUUAAAUGUCAUAUUUGUGCAGUUUUAAAUAGUUAAAGGUCAUAUUUGUGCGCUGUCAAAGUUUAAGGUCAUAUUUAUGUAUUAUGCCCUUAGAUUUUAAGCUGGCCGCGCCCAGUUUUGCAUAUUGAACACGCGUUUUGCCACGUAGGAUUGGAAGUUAUAUUUGUGCAGUUUUGAAAAGUUAAAGGUCAUAUUUGUGCACUGUCAAAAUUUAAGGUCAAAGUUAUAAUUUGAUGUUAAGUUUAGGAUCAUUUUUAUGUAUUAACUCUUUAAAUAUACCUUUAACUUUUAUAUCUUUUUUUAAAUAUAAAUUCAAAUAUUACAGUUUUUAUGAACAAAUGCAUACUAAUGGUUAAUUAAAAGGAAAAUAAGGAAUAUAUUCGAAUAAAGGAACAUCUCAGCUUUUCCUCAAGCAAAUCUAAUGCUACGGUGGAUUUCUCUUUAUUCUUUUGUGGUCCUUUAUUUAUAUAUGUUUGUCAAUAAUAAAAUAAAUAUAUGUCUUGGCCAGCUUGAUGAUAAAAAGCACUCACAAAAGGAGAAUCCAAUUGUUGCUUACCUUGGGAGAUACUGUGCAAAAUUUCUUCUGUACACGUUCAUAGUAGUUCCUCCAUCUAUAUAACUACAUAUUUCUAAACAGUUCCAUUUGAAGUUCUCAUGACUUUUUGAAGAAAAUCAAGUACAUACAGCAUCCAGGGGCAUAUUCGCGGUGCAGGUGUAGCUUUUCGAGAACUCAGUAAUUUUAAUUUUAAUUCUAUAUAUACACUAAGUAAUUUUAUUAAAUAUGUAAAAUUUAUUUUUUGAGAAUUUUGUAACAAAGUAAAUCAGAGGCAAAUUCAGGAUUUGAAAGUUUCGGAUGCCACACAAGUUUGAAGAACAGUGUACAUUGUAUUUUGCA
This 5638-nucleotide long non-coding RNA is filed under the name Capsicum annuum. RNAcentral describes it as "long non-coding RNA (CANN_LNC014267)". The record is from RNAcentral. Lineage: Eukaryota; Viridiplantae; Streptophyta; Magnoliopsida; Solanales; Solanaceae.